Molecule: long non-coding RNA, 1117 nt
Filed under: Homo sapiens (human)
Lineage: Eukaryota; Metazoa; Chordata; Mammalia; Primates; Hominidae
Description: HSALNT0232204
Source: RNAcentral
CUUAACGUAUAUUUUUUAAGCCACAUUGACAUUGAGUUCAACAAAAUUUUCUCCACAAUUUAAGGUGAAAAGCAUUGUCCCUAAAAGCUGAAACAUUGACAUAAUAGUGGAAUUUUCUGAGAUAGUUGAUACAGUAUGAACAUUACCCAUUGAAAUAAAAACAUAUUAAUGAGUAGAAAUUAACCCACUUCCAUUUAUUUAACAACUAUGUCCUGAAUGUCCCCGUAACUGCUACCCUUGUUGGCACUCCAUAUACAUAGAUGAGCAAGUUAUCUCCUGUCUUCAAAGAAGGAAAUUGUCCAACUACAAAGCAAAUGUCUAAGCUAGUAACUUGAAUGCUUUUUUGGUUAAUAUCAUAUUAUAUGAUAUAGAACAAUCUCUAAUAUGUACAAUUAAGAAAUACAAAAUUAUUGUAAAAAUAAUUUAUGGAAUAUAGUUUGAGAAAUUAAAGAAUAAUAACGUAUGCAUUGCUUUGAUUAUUUUCUUAGCGUUACAUAGGCAAUUAUUGAGAGAGAGCGUGUUUGUCAUAUGGAUUGAAGAGUUUUUUUAGAAACCCAAGAAGCUUUUGUAGAAGAUGUCACUGGACUUGCUUUUUUCUUUUUUUGAGACAGGGUCUCACUCUGUCACCCAGGUUGGUGUGCAGUCGCACCAUGCAGCAUCGACCUCCCUGGGCUGAAAUGAUCCUCCCACCUCAGUCUCCUGAGUAGCUGGGACUACAGGCAUAUGCCACCAUGCCCGGCUAAUUUUUUGUGUUUUGAGUAACAACAAAGUCUCGCUGUGUUGCCCAGGCUGGUUUUGAACUACUGGGCUCUAGCAGUCUGCCCCCGUCAGCCUCCCAAAGUGCUGGAUUACCGACGUGAGUCAUGUACCCAGACGUAUGUUAUUAUAUGAGGAAGAACAGCAAGAUUUUCAAGAUAAAGAGAACGAUAAGGCAGAAAUGUGAGAAGUGUUGAACUUAGAAGAAAUUAAAGAACAUCCCCAAAGUCCAAACCAUCAGUGGAAACUGAAAAGGAGAGAGGAACAUGGGCAUGAACACUUACGCUAUCCAGCGGGCAUUAGUCAAUUCUGACCAAAUGAGCUGAUAUUUGUACAGCCUCGAGGGAGAAAUGGACAAACC